GCAAAUAUAGUUUAACUAAAACAUUAGACCGUGACUCUAAACACAGGAGUUUGAUCCUCCUUAUAUGCC
This 69-nucleotide transfer RNA is filed under the name Petauroides volans (greater glider). Its description in RNAcentral is "tRNA-His". It matches the Rfam family "tRNA". From Rfam's summary of the family: Transfer RNA (tRNA) molecules are approximately 80 nucleotides in length. Their secondary structure includes four short double-helical elements and three loops (D, anti-codon, and T loops). Lineage: Eukaryota; Metazoa; Chordata; Mammalia; Diprotodontia; Pseudocheiridae. The record is from RNAcentral.